AGUGAACGCUGGCGGUAGGCCUAACACAUGCAAGUCGAACGGCAGCACAGUAAGAGCUUGCUCUUACGGGUGGCGAGUGGCGGACGGGUGAGGAAUACAUCGGAAUCUACUUUUUCGUGGGGGAUAACGUAGGGAAACUUACGCUAAUACCGCAUACGACCUACGGGUGAAAGCAGGGGAUCUUCGGACCUUGCGCGAUUGAAUGAGCCGAUGUCGGAUUAGCUAGUUGGCGGGGUAAAGGCCCACCAAGGCGACGAUCCGUAGCUGGUCUGAGAGGAUGGUCGGCCACACGGGAACUGGGACACGGUCCAGACUCCUACGGGAGGCAGCAGUGGGGAAUAUUGGACAAUGGGCGCAAGCCUGAUCCAGCCAUACCGCGUGGGUGAAGAAGGCCUUCGGGUUGUAAAGCCCUUUUGUUGGGAAAGAAAAGCAGCAGGUUAAUACCCAGCUGUUCUGACGGUACCCAAAGAAUAAGCACCGGCUAACUUCGUG
RNAcentral lists this ribosomal RNA (492 nucleotides) under uncultured bacterium. Its description in RNAcentral is "partial 16S ribosomal RNA". It matches the Rfam family "Bacterial small subunit ribosomal RNA", at positions 29 to 507 of the family's 1533-position model. The record is from RNAcentral.